UCCCUGGUGGUCCAGUGGCUAAGACUCUGUGCUCCUGACGCAGAGGGCCUGAGUUCAAUUCCUUGUCAGAGAA
This 73-nucleotide transfer RNA is filed under the name Bos taurus (domestic cattle). It matches the Rfam family "tRNA". Rfam says of the family: Transfer RNA (tRNA) molecules are approximately 80 nucleotides in length. Their secondary structure includes four short double-helical elements and three loops (D, anti-codon, and T loops). Further hydrogen bonds mediate the characteristic L-shaped molecular structure. tRNAs have two regions of fundamental functional importance: the anti-codon, which is responsible for specific mRNA codon recognition, and the 3' end, to which the tRNAs corresponding amino acid is attached (by aminoacyl-tRNA synthetases). tRNAs cope with the degeneracy of the genetic code in two manners: having more than one tRNA (with a specific anti-codon) for a particular amino acid; and 'wobble' base-pairing, i.e. permitting non-standard base-pairing at the 3rd anti-codon position. Lineage: Eukaryota; Metazoa; Chordata; Mammalia; Artiodactyla; Bovidae. The record is from Rfam by way of RNAcentral. RNAcentral also lists the same sequence under 1 other name.